This 442-nucleotide ribosomal RNA is filed under the name uncultured bacterium. RNAcentral's name for it is "partial 16S ribosomal RNA". It matches the Rfam family "Bacterial small subunit ribosomal RNA", at positions 339 to 795 of the family's 1533-position model. The record is from RNAcentral.
CUACGGGGCGCUGCAGUGGGGGAUAUUGCACAAUGGAGGAAACUCUGAUGCAGCAACGCCGCGUGAGGGAAGAAGGUUUUCGGAUUGUAAACCUCUGUUUUCGGUGAAGAAAAAAAUGACGGUAGCCGAAGAGGAAGCCACGGCUAACUACGUGCCAGCAGCCGCGGUAAUACGUAGGUGGCAAGCGUUGUCCGGAUUUACUGGGUGUAAAGGGUGCGUAGGCGGGACUGCAAGUUGGAUGUGAAAAUCUGAGGCUCAACCUCAGAACUGCAUCCAAAACUGUGGUUCUUGAGUGGAGUAGAGGUAAGCGGAAUUCCGAGUGUAGCGGUGAAAUGCGUAGAUAUUCGGAGGAACACCAGUGGCGAAGGCGGCUUACUGGGCUCUAACUGACGCUGAGGCACGAAAGCAUGGGUAGCAAACAGGAUUAGAUACCCCAGUAGUC